CCGCGGGAUUAGAGUUUGAUCCUGGCUCAGAGCGAACGCUGGCGGCAGGCUUAACACAUGCAAGUCGAGCGCCCCGCAAGGGGAGCGGCAGACGGGAGAGUAACACGUGGGAACGUACCUUUCGGUUCGGAACAACCCAGGGAAACUUGGGCUAAUACCGGAUACGUCCGUAAGGAGAAAGAUUUAUCGCCGAAAGAUCGGCCCGCGUCUGAUUAGCUAGUUGGUGAGGUAACGGCUCACCAAGGCGACGAUCAGUAGCUGGUCUGAGAGGAUGAUCAGCCUCACUGGGACUGAGACACGGCCCAGACUCCUACGGGAGGCUGCAGUCGAGGAUCUUCGGCAAUGGGCGCAAGCCUGACCGAGCGACGCCGCGUGUGCGAUGAAGGCCUUCGGGUUGUAAAGCACUGUCUAGGGGGAGGAAAACCCGCAAGGGUCUGACCUAUCCCUGGAGGAAGCACGGGCUAAGUUCGUGCCAGCAGCCGCGGUAAGACGAACCGUGCGAACGUUGUUCGGAUUCACUGGGCUUAAAGGGCGCGUAGGCGGGCGGCACAGUCAGAGGUGAAAUCUCACGGCCCAACCGUGAAACGGCCUUUGAUACUGGCGGUCUCGAGGGAGGUAGGGGCAUGCGGAACUUCCGGUGGAGCGGUGAAAUGCGUAGAUAUCGGAAGGAACGCCGGUGGCGAAAGCGGCAUGCUGGGCCUUCUCUGACGCUGAGGCGCGAAAGCCAGGGGAGCGAACGGGAUUAGAUACCCCGGUAGUCCUGGCCCUAAACGAUGGGUACCAGGCUGUGGGCCGGCAUGGGCUCCCAGCCGAGGCGAAAGUGUUAAGUACCCCGCCUGGGGAGUAUGGUCGCAAGGCU
This 859-nucleotide ribosomal RNA is filed under the name uncultured bacterium. RNAcentral's name for it is "bacterial SSU rRNA". It matches the Rfam family "Bacterial small subunit ribosomal RNA", at positions 1 to 895 of the family's 1533-position model. The record is from RNAcentral.